GUCUAGCCUGCCCAAUGAAAAUUAAAUGGCCGCAGUAAAUUGACUGUGCAAAGGUAGCAUAAUCAUUAGUUUUUUAAUUAAAAGCUUGUAUGAAGGGUUGAACGAGGUAAAUUCUGUCUCUAUUUAAUUUAAAUUAGAAUUUAAUUUUUAAGUUAAAAAGCUUAAAUAUUUGUAAAAGACGAGAAGACCCUAUAGAGCUUUAUAAUUUUUAUAUUAUAAUAAUUUAAGUUUUUUUAAAGUUUUAUUAUAAAAGUUAUUUUAUUGGGGUAAUAGAAAGAUUAAAAUAAUUCUUUUUUAUUAUUUACAUAAAUAAAUGAAUUUAAUGAUCCAUUUUUAAUGAUUAUAAGAUUAAGUUACCUUAGGGAUAACAGCGUAAUUUUUUUAAAGAGUUCAUAUCGAUAAAAAAGUUUGCGACCUCGAUGUUGGAUUAAAGAUUAGUUUAGGUGUAGAAGUUUAAAUUUUUGGUCUGUUCGACCAUUAAAUCUUUACGUGAUCUA
RNAcentral lists this ribosomal RNA (497 nucleotides) under Dolichus halensis. RNAcentral describes it as "partial 16S ribosomal RNA". It matches the Rfam family "Bacterial large subunit ribosomal RNA", at positions 1852 to 2607 of the family's 2925-position model. The record is from RNAcentral. Lineage: Eukaryota; Metazoa; Arthropoda; Insecta; Coleoptera; Carabidae.